Molecule: non-coding RNA, 228 nt
Filed under: Porphyridium aerugineum
Lineage: Eukaryota; Rhodophyta; Bangiophyceae; Porphyridiales; Porphyridiaceae
Source: RNAcentral
UCAUAGCAUUUCUUCCAUUCAAUACUUUCAAUACAUUUUUUGCAUUUCUUUUAGGAAAUAUUGGGGGGUUUUGGUUGUCACAAAACAGCGUGGGUGGGAAAACGAUCGGGUGAUUCUUAUUGCCGCGUGUAGAGGGGAGAAAAGGUGGCUAAAGGGGAAAGCAGGGGAAAUAAUUCGAUUGGGGGAUCUUAUUUUCUUAGAAUUUUUCAACCGGAAAGAAAGAGAGGA